RNAcentral lists this long non-coding RNA (316 nucleotides) under Mytilus galloprovincialis (Mediterranean mussel). The record is from RNAcentral. Lineage: Eukaryota; Metazoa; Mollusca; Bivalvia; Mytilida; Mytilidae.
GUUCAUAUUUAUAAAUAGUAUAGGGAGAACCUUCGGCUCAUUGGUUUUGAAAAUUUACACCAAAAACGAAAGUACAAAUGAACACAAGGUCAAAUUUGAUAAAGCUUUUCCAAUAUCAGCGUUUGAUGAAUAACUGUUCGUACAUGCUUGAAGAAAGCGCAUUAUAUAUCAAAAUUAUCAAAGCAAGCUAUAAUGAAAUUUUUCAAAUCACAGUUAAAUGCCAUUGAUAGAAAAGUCCGCUUCGAGAUCUAUGAGAAUGACUGGGACUCGGACUGGGAUAAGUUUAAUUAUAAAGUAAGAUGAUAUUUCAGCUACU